Molecule: long non-coding RNA, 1113 nt
Organism: Drosophila miranda
Lineage: Eukaryota; Metazoa; Arthropoda; Insecta; Diptera; Drosophilidae
Exons: 3
Source: RefSeq, a predicted model, not a curated record
GUAUGAGAACACUUCUCAUCAAAACUUCCCAUGUGCUAUAAUUGUUUUCGUCCAGUUUCUCAAUAUUGAAAUUCAUAUAUCCACUCAUUUUUGAUACUUAUUGUCCCACUGUGCAAAAUUUGUAACGACGACAAUACUGUUGUCCCUGUCUUUCCUUUUUUUUUCGUUUUCUUUUAUGUAUCCCUCCGAGUUGCUAUUCACACACAGACACUCACGAUUUUCUAAGGCUUGGUGUACACACUUUUUGGUAUACACGCCCUGUAGAACCAAAGGGGUCAAUUGACCCCUCUCGAACUAGUUCUGCGCUGUUUACCGCGCAACUAGCUAUUCAACUAGUUACGCGGGAAGCGAACGCGGACCAGGUCUUCGUCGACUACAAUGUACUAGUUCUGCAACUAGUUACGCGGGAAGCGAACGCGGACCAGUCGAAAAAGAACCGAAAAACGAAGCCGCCUUCGGUUUGUUUUUGAAGGCGGCAAAUACCCGCAAUUCCGUGGAGUUACAGUGCCCACUCAGCUAGUUUUUACCGAGCCACGACAUGCAAUAAGCACCGAAAUGGUAAGUUAAUCGUGAUAUUUUACUGUAGUUGCGCUCGUGGAAUGAAAGAGACAAGAAUUUACACAAACAAAAUGCAUUUGUUUUCCUCGUUUGCUUUAUGCGUUGAUUUUGUUCACUUCUGUACAACAUCUAAUCGCUGGAAGAGUCUUUUGUGUAAACAUUUAUUAAAAAACUGGAAAAGAAUUAAUAAAUAAAUCAAAUUAAUAUAAACAGACUCCGUAAGAGUGAAAGGGAAGCUAACAUUGCAAAGUUAGCGUUGUGCAGGAAAGAUAACAGCAAGGAAAUCGAUUUUCCAGCCAGCUGGCGUUUUUAGCGGCUUAAACUUUAUUUUGAGUGAGGAAAUUGUUCUAGCCUAUAACGUCGAUGGGGUCCAAGGGAAGAAGGCCCUUAGGACCCACAAAGAAUUUUUUGCAGCUUUGCUAGAAUGUAUUCCGCCUGACGAUGAGCCCCCCGAAAACACUGUGCGGAAGGCAAUGCAAAGGAUGAAGAAAAGGGUUUUUAAGAAGAAGUGUCUUGCCAAAAACCAGGAGUGGGCUAAGCAUCAUAAAAUUAAAA